AUUGAACGCUGGCGGCAUGCCUAACACAUGCAAGUCGAACGGGGCGCUUCGGCGCCUAGUGGCGGACGGGUGAGUAAAGCGUAGGAAUCUGCCUUGCAGUGGGGGACAACCUGGGGGAAACUCAGGCUAAUACCGCAUACGCUCGCGAGAGGAAAGCGGGGGGAUCUUCGGGCCUCGCGCCGCAAGAAGAGCCUACGUCCGAUUAGCUAGUUGGUAGGGUAAAAGCCUACCAAGGCGACGAUCGGUAGCUGGUCUGAGAGGAUGAUCAGCCACACUGGGACUGAGACACGGCCCAGACUCCUACGGGAGGCAGCAGUGGGGAAUAUUGGACAAUGGGCGCAAGCCUGAUCCAGCAAUGCCGCGUGGGUGAAGAAGGCCUGCGGGUUGUAAAGCCCUUUAAGUGGGGAGGAACGGCGGGAUGCGAACAGUGUUCUGCUCUGACGUUACCCACAGAAUAAGCACCGGCUAACUCCGUGCCAGCAGCCGCGGUAAU
RNAcentral lists this ribosomal RNA (493 nucleotides) under uncultured bacterium. RNAcentral's name for it is "bacterial SSU rRNA". It matches the Rfam family "Bacterial small subunit ribosomal RNA", at positions 29 to 524 of the family's 1533-position model. The record is from RNAcentral.